Molecule: ribosomal RNA, 2234 nt
Filed under: synthetic metagenome
Description: bacterial LSU rRNA
Rfam family: Bacterial large subunit ribosomal RNA
Source: RNAcentral
GCCUGAAUCAGUGUGUGUGUUAGUGGAAGCGUCUGGAAAGGCGCGCGAUACAGGGUGACAGCCCCGUACACAAAAAUGCACAUAUUGUGAGCUCGAUGAGUAGGGCGGGACACGUGGUAUCCUGUCUGAAUAUGGGGGGACCAUCCUCCAAGGCUAAAUACUCCUGACUGACCGAUAGUGAACCAGUACCGUGAGGGAAAGGCGAAAAGAACCCCGGCGAGGGGAGUGAAAAAGAACCUGAAACCGUGUACGUACAAGCAGUGGGAGCCUCUUAAUGGGGUGACUGCGUACCUUUUGUAUAAUGGGUCAGCGACUUAUAUUCUGUAGCAAGGUUAACCGAAUAGGGGAGCCGAAGGGAAACCGAGUCUUAACUGGGCGUUAAGUUGCAGGGUAUAGACCCGAAACCCGGUGAUCUAGCCAUGGGCAGGUUGAAGGUUGGGUAACACUAACUGGAGGACCGAACCGACUAAUGUUGAAAAAUUAGCGGAUGACUUGUGGCUGGGGGUGAAAGGCCAAUCAAACCGGGAGAUAGCUGGUUCUCCCCGAAAGCUAUUUAGGUAGCGCCUCGUGAAUUCAUCUCCGGGGGUAGAGCACUGUUUCGGCAAGGGGGUCAUCCCGACUUACCAACCCGAUGCAAACUGCGAAUACCGGAGAAUGUUAUCAUGGGAGACACACGGCGGGUGCUAACGUCCGUCGUGAAGAGGGAAACAACCCAGACCGCCAGCUAAGGUCCCAAAGUCAUGGUUAAGUGGGAAACGAUGUGGGAAGGCCCAGACAGCCAGGAUGUUGGCUUAGAAGCAGCCAUCAUUUAAAGAAAGCGUAAUAGCUCACUGGUCGAGUCGGCCUGCGCGGAAGAUGUAACGGGGCUAAACCAUGCACCGAAGCUGCGGCAGCGACACUAUGUGUUGUUGGGUAGGGGAGCGUUCUGUAAGCCUGUGAAGGUGGCCUGUGAGGGUUGCUGGAGGUAUCAGAAGUGCGAAUGCUGACAUAAGUAACGAUAAAGCGGGUGAAAAGCCCGCUCGCCGGAAGACCAAGGGUUCCUGUCCAACGUUAAUCGGGGCAGGGUGAGUCGACCCCUAAGGCGAGGCCGAAAGGCGUAGUCGAUGGGAAACAGGUUAAUAUUCCUGUACUUGGUGUUACUGCGAAGGGGGGACGGAGAAGGCUAUGUUGGCCGGGCGACGGUUGUCCCGGUUUAAGCGUGUAGGCUGGUUUUCCAGGCAAAUCCGGAAAACCAAGGCUGAGGCGUGAUGACGAGGCACUACGGUGCUGAAGCGACAAAUGCCCUGCUUCCAGGAAAAGCCUCUAAGCAUCAGGUAACAUCAAAUCGUACCCCAAACCGACACAGGUGGUCAGGUAGAGAAUACCAAGGCGCUUGAGAGAACUCGGGUGAAGGAACUAGGCAAAAUGGUGCCGUAACUUCGGGAGAAGGCACGCUGAUAUGUAGGUGAAGCGACUUGCUCGUGGAGCUGAAAUCAGUCGAAGAUACCAGCUGGCUGCAACUGUUUAUUAAAAACACAGCACUGUGCAAACACGAAAGUGGACGUAUACGGUGUGACGCCUGCCCGGUGCCGGAAGGUUAAUUGAUGGGGUUAGCGGUAACGCGAAGCUCUUGAUCGAAGCCCCGGUAAACGGCGGCCGUAACUAUAACGGUCCUAAGGUAGCGAAAUUCCUUGUCGGGUAAGUUCCGACCUGCACGAAUGGCGUAAUGAUGGCCAGGCUGUCUCCACCCGAGACUCAGUGAAAUUGAACUCGCUGUGAAGAUGCAGUGUACCCGCGGCAAGACGGAAAGACCCCGUGAACCUUUACUAUAGCUUGACACUGAACAUUGAGCCUUGAUGUGUAGGAUAGGUGGGAGGCUUUGAAGUGUGGACGCCAGUCUGCAUGGAGCCGGCCUUGAAAUACCACCCUUUAAUGUUUGAUGUUCUAACGUGGGCCCCUUACCGGGGUUGCGGACAGUGUCUGGUGGGUAGUUUGACUGGGGCGGUCUCCUCCUAAAGAGUAACGGAGGAGCACGAAGGUUGGCUAAUCCUGGUCGGACAUCAGGAGGUUAGUGCAAUGGCAUAAGCCAGCUUGACUGCGAGCGUGACGGCGCGAGCAGGUGCGAAAGCAGGUCAUAGUGAUCCGGUGGUUCUGAAUGGAAGGGCCAUCGCUCAACGGAUAAAAGGUACUCCGGGGAUAACAGGCUGAUACCGCCCAAGAGUUCAUAUCGACGGCGGUGUUUGGCACCUCGAUGU